Molecule: ribosomal RNA, 358 nt
Filed under: uncultured bacterium
Lineage: Bacteria
Description: bacterial SSU rRNA
Rfam family: Bacterial small subunit ribosomal RNA
Source: RNAcentral
GAUGAACGCUAGCGGCAGGCUUAAUACAUGCAAGUCGAGGGGCAGCACGGUUAGCAAUAACUGGUGGCGACCGGCGCACGGGUGCGUAACACGUAUACAAUCUACCUUAAACAGGGGAUAGCCUUUCGAAAGAGAGAUUAAUACCCCGUAAUAAAUUGAACGGCAUCGUUUGAUUUUGAAAGCUCCGGCGGUUUGAGAUGAGUAUGCGUCUGAUUAGCUAGUUGGUGAGGUAACGGCUCACCAAGGCGACGAUCAGUAGGGGAUCUGAGAGGACUAACCCCCACACUGGUACUGAGACACGGACCAGACUCCUACGGGAGGCAGCAGUAAGGAAUAUUGGUCAAUGGAGGCAACUCUG